AUAAAAAGUGCAGGACUGAAAGGAAACUAUUUUACGUCCAAAUUAACAUGUUUGUAAUCAUAUGUGCUGUUCUGAUCUCUCUGGCCAUGGAACCAGUUCUGGGACAGACACUGGAGCAAAAAGAUUUCUCCAUGACCAAAGAUGAGGGCAAAACUGUGUAUAUCAGCUGCAAGGUGACCGGAUUGUCUUCUAGCAAUUAUGUCCACUGGUACCAAAAGAAAGAAGGAGAAGCUCUCACAAGGAUCCUGUAUGUCAAAAGUGGAAGCCUGGAACCGGUUCAUGAUGCUAACUUUCAUGAAGCACGGGAAUUUGGUGUGAGGACACAGUCUAAUAAUUAUGACCUGAAAAUAGACCUAAAGAAAAAGCACUCUGCAGUUUAUUACUGCGCCAGCUGGGAUAAUGACGACCACAGUGACAGUAAAUAUUAA
Molecule: non-coding RNA, 428 nt
Organism: Clarias gariepinus (North African catfish)
Lineage: Eukaryota; Metazoa; Chordata; Actinopteri; Siluriformes; Clariidae
Source: the annotation of a RefSeq genome assembly